ACUCCUACGGGAGGCAGCAGUGGGGAAUAUUGCACAAUGGGGGAAAGCCCAUCGAUGCAGCCAUGCCGCGUGUGUGAAGAAGGCCUUCGGGUUGUAAAGCACUUUCAGCGAGGAGGAAAGGGUGUGUGCUAAUACCUAACAGCUGUGACGUUACCCACAGAAGAAGCACCGGCUAACUCCGUGCCAGCAGCCGCGGUAAUACGGAGGGUGCAAGCGUUAAUCGGAAUUACUGGGCGUAAAGCGUGCGCAGGCGGUCUGUUAAGCGAGAUGUGAAAG
This 276-nucleotide ribosomal RNA is filed under the name uncultured bacterium. RNAcentral's name for it is "partial 16S ribosomal RNA". It matches the Rfam family "Bacterial small subunit ribosomal RNA", at positions 335 to 600 of the family's 1533-position model. The record is from RNAcentral.